RNAcentral lists this small nucleolar RNA (101 nucleotides) under Nannizzia gypsea CBS 118893. RNAcentral describes it as "Arthroderma gypseum CBS 118893 A. fumigatus snoRNA Afu_264". It matches the Rfam family "A. fumigatus snoRNA Afu_264". The record is from Rfam by way of RNAcentral. Lineage: Eukaryota; Fungi; Ascomycota; Eurotiomycetes; Onygenales; Arthrodermataceae.
CUUCAUGAUGAUACCUCACUUUACUUUUUUUCUGGUACCUCUUAUGUCAGGAACUGGGCCUCUUCUGGUCCAGCUUCAAUGAUCUUAAUGGACUUCUGAUU